GAAUCCAAGCUCAAAAUUUCGAAACCAUACACCAAAAAUCCUAGAUCUACAAAUGAAAAUGUGAAAUUUUUACCUCUUUUUCCGGUCCCCUUCUUUCCUUCCGGUUCGUUUCUGCUCCCUUACGGUCCGGUUCCGCUUUCUGCUCCGGUUCGGCCUGCUUGCUGUUCUGGUUCGGUUGUGUUGUUGUUGCUCCGGUCCGGUUGUGUUGUUGUUGCUCUGGUCCGGUUGUGUUGUUGUUGCUCCGGUCCGGUUGUGUUGUGGUUGCUUGUUUGUGAUUUGUGUGGUUAUAUGAAUAGUUUUGAGGUUUUAGUAAAGUUUUGGUAUUGCUGGAUUUUGAUGAAUAUAUGAAUGUUCUUCAUGUGUUCAUGUUAUUUCUUUGUAAUUUUUAGUGUUUGAUCUGAAAAAGGGUUGGAAAAGUAGAAAAUGAGUGUUUGUGAAUUGCUGCUGAUUUUUUGACGUGAACAGUGACUUCUGGCCCAUUUCCCAAUGAUUGACAGGGUUUUUAUAGUGACAAACUAGGGUUGGCUCUGGGUUGGCUCUGGUACAAAACAAAAACCAAAAUGCCCCUGCAGCUGAGACUUGGGGACAAAGGCUUAACAAAUAAAUAAAUAAAUAAAAAUAAAAAGAAUGAAUAAAAAGAAAAAGAAAAAGAAAAGCAAAAGAAAAAGAAGAAAGGGAAGACGUAUGUCUUCUUCUUUUCUUUGUUGUGUUUUUUUUUAUAAAAAAAUAAAAAUAAUAAAAUAA
RNAcentral lists this long non-coding RNA (744 nucleotides) under Medicago truncatula (barrel medic). RNAcentral describes it as "lncRNA gene12492". Lineage: Eukaryota; Viridiplantae; Streptophyta; Magnoliopsida; Fabales; Fabaceae. The record is from RNAcentral.